UGACAUGCAACGAAACAACGCAACAAAUGAACAUAGAUUCAGAGGAAGAUAACAUACCGAAAGAGAUUGUUAAGGAAGUUGAGAAUUUUUAAAACAGACUAAAGUCCAACCUAGCGAGACUAAGAUUGUUAACCUGGGAGAUGCAGAAAAUGUCAAAGAAACCCGAAUAAACAUCCACUUAUCGCCAUCAAAAAAGAAGGAAUACAUAGAAUUCCUACAGGAUUAUAAGGACAUAUUUGACUGGUCAUAUGAUGACAUGACUGGUCUGAGUACAUCUAUUGUGGCUCAGAAACUUCCAACCGAUCCAAUAUGUUCGUCAGUAAAGCAAAAACUCAGAAAGUUCAAGCCUGAUAUGAGUUUGAAAAUCAAGGAAGAAGUCACCAAGCAGGUCAAAGCCAAGGUUCUCAGAAUAGUAGAAUACCCGACAUGGUUAGCCAACAUUGUGCCAGUGCCAAGAAAGGAUGGAAGGUCAGAAUCUGUAUUGACUACUGGGAUCUCAAUCGGGCCAGUCCGAAAGCCGACUUUUGUUUGCCAAAUAUAAAUAUCCUGAUUGACAAUUACGCCAAGCAUGAGUUGCAAUUUUUUGUAGAUUCUUUCGCUGGAUAUCAUCAGAUCUAGAUAGAUUAAGAUAAGGAUGAGAAAAAUGGUUUUUGUUAUGUCGUGGGGAAUGUACUGCUACAAGAUGAUGUCGUUCAGCCUGAUUAAUGCAAUGGCCACCUACAUGAGGGCCAUGACUACCAUUUUCCAUGAUAUAAUACACAAGGAAAUAGAAAUGUAUGUAGAUGAUGUUAUCAUCAAGUCCAAGAAGGCCAUUGAUCACAUGGAAGAUUUGAGGAAGUUUUUUAAUAGACUGCAGAGGUAUAGCCUGAAACUGAAUCCCAUGAAGUGUGCAUUUGGGGUUCCUACUAGAAAACUACUUGGGUUUAUUGUGAGUCGUUGAGGGAUAAAGCUGGAUCCAUCAAAAGUCAAAGCCAUUCAAGAAUUUACACCGCCAAAGAGCAAGAAGGACGUAAUGAGUUUUUUGGGGAGACUCAACUACAUCAGCCAAUUCAUAGCAUAAUCUACAGUUACUCAAGAGCCAGUCUUUAAGAUGUUGAAGAAGGACGCCGCUACCGAAUAGACUGAUGACUGCCAAAAAGCUUUCGUCUAAAUCAAGGAAUACCUAUCAACACCACCAGUCUUGAUCUCGUCCGAGCCGGGUAGACCUCUAUUACACUACCUUGCAGUAUUGGAUGGAGCUUUCGGUUGCGUUCUGGGGCAGCAUGAUGAAAUGGGAGGAAAGAGCAUGCCAUAUAUUAUCUCAGUAAGAAGUUCAUCCUGUACGAGGCUCGAUAUUUAUUGUUAGAAUACACCUAUUAUGCUCUGACUAUGGUAGCUCAGAAGCUGAGACACUAGUUCUAUGCCUAUACUACAUAUCUCAUAUCAAAGAUGGAUCCUUUGAAGUCCAUCUUCCAGAAUCCCAUACCCACUGGCAAGCUAGCCAAGUGGUAAAUCCUGUUGAGUAAAUUUGACAUUGUCUACGUGACUCAUAAGGCAAUCAAGGGGUAUACACUAGCAGAUCACCUUGCUGAAAAUCCCGUAGAUGGAGAAUACGAACCCCUGGAAAUGUAUUUUCCUGAUGAAGAUCUAUCAUUCAUAGGAGAAGACAUUACAGAAUCCUAUGAUGGUUGAAGAAUGUUUUUCAGUGGAGCAGCAAAUUUCAAAAGAGUUGGCAUAGGAGCAGUCCUAGUGUCAGAAAUCGGUCAGCAUUUUUAUAUCCUCAUUUAAAUCGGGUCAAAUUAGAGUAUAACAUAUUAGCGAUUCUGAGAUUUAGUUAAUUUAAGAGAGUCGCCACCUAAUUAAUUCUAAGGUGAAUUAAGACACCUAUUUUAAGCUUAAGUCAAACUCUGUCCUUAAUUUAAGUGAGUCGCCACCUAAUUAAUUCUAAGUGAAUUAAGACACCUAUUUUAAGCUUAAGUCAAACUCUGUCUUGUGGUCUUAACCUAAAGAUUCUAAGUAAGGGUUUUAAUAGUUUAAAAGGAAGGGUUUUAAAGCACCUUUUAAAGUCCGUUAAUAACGAUUAACCGACCAAGCUUAGGUUAAUAAGAAUUGUAUAAAAAUAUCAAAAAGUAUCGUUUGAGGUAUUAUAACAAAUAUAUCUUAGAAUAGAGUAAUUUAACUUUUAAAGACUUUAAUAAACUUUUGAAGAAUAAUUACUGAUAAAAAAAAUACCUUUUCUCUUAUUUGUCUAAAAAAAAAAAGUAGUCCAGGUGAAGGAUUUUCUUUUUUGAACUUUUCAACUAGAAAACGUCAGCCAACUUCAAAAUCAAGAAAUGUUUUGUAUAUUUCCUUUUUUUAAGAGAUAAAUCCACAUUUUUCAAGAUGUUAUAUGAAAUAAUUUUUCAAUUUCAGUUGAAGCACACCCCCACCCCUUUUCUUCUCUUUUUUUUUCAAGAAGAUCUGAUUCAAAUCCAAUCUUAUAUAAUAGAAACCUGAAACCUGAAAUAGGCGAAUCUUGUAUUAAUAUUCAUAUUACUCCAGGUGCAUAUGCCAGAAUAAAGAAAGAGAAAAUAUGAAAUUAAGAAGAGAACUAGACUUGGACAAAAUUUAUAACAAGAUUAUGAACUAAAAAAAACAAACAAGCUUAUGCUAAUAGAUUUAUGGUCUUUAUACAAAUUCAUGUGAAAUCUAAAGGGCCGGACAGAUUAAUAUAGACAACAUGAUUCUUGACACUUAUAACAUGGUUUCUACUUUCAUUAUAAGUCAUAAAUUAGAUAUCAAAAUCCCAGUAGCAUUCUUUUUAAAAGAGAUGUCAAAACGUUAGAACCCUUUCUUUAAACAACUAUUACACAUGAUAUCUAAAGAAUGUUACUGGGAUUUUAGAUGUUAGCACAUGAUAUCUAAAUACAUGUUCUUUGAGCAAUGUUCUGGAGUAAUAAUAAAUUAUGGAUAGAUUUGCUGCAUUCUUUUAAAGCAAUAAAUCAACUUAGACUCCGUUUAGGCAAGAAUUCAAUACACAAUCAUAACAUAGUGACAAUCUAGUCUAGUUAUAAACAUGAUUCAAACCAUUACAAGAAAAACUAAUUAGUUUACUUUAUUAAAUUGCUAAUGAGUAUUUAUUGACGAUAUAGAGAUGAUAAACUCAUUACUAUUUACUCCUACUUUCGUUUAUUCAAAUGAACAGAGUACAGUGACCAACUAAUUCCUAUUUCUAUAAACAAAUAGACAGUAAAGUCUUAGAACAAACUUCAGAUAUGUUAACAACCACUAAUAUCUAGAAUUAGCAUAUAAGUACAGAAUCCUAACUCAACGACUUCUAACCAAGAUAAUGAUAUAAACACAAAUAACAAACAACAUAUCAAAUAAAAUUUUUUCAUGAUAUUUGAACUUGAACGGAAAACAUAAAAGGUAAUCAAAGGUUCACUGGUAAUACAUGCCCCAUAUGGAUUUGUCUUAAAACAUAAAAAGAGGAAAGAUAAAAAAUACCGACCUUUUUGCGAUGCAACGAAUUCGGGCGCGUUGAAUAGAUCUAUAGAUUCUAGUUUCGGACUCAUACUCGAGCUUACAACCGUAAACUUUUAUAAUUUCCGAAAAAACAAAAGUGCAAAGAACAAUUCCUAUGUUAUAGCAAAGAGUAACAGAGGCCACACAACUAAGAAUUUUAGAGUAUCUUGAAGAAUAAAAUUAUUUUGAAGAUAAGCUCCCAAGUUGUCCUCAAUUAUUAUCAGACCUUUGUAUUUAUAGAAGAAUUACUAGGCUUUUCUAGGCCUAAUUUUGGCGAGAUUCUUGAAGGGUUAGGGUUUCAAACGGAUCAAGAACCGUUUGAAAUGGCGUGUAGAAGAAAGAAAAAGGACCACAUAGGUAGGAGAAGCAAAGAUUCGAAUGCCAAAAUUGUAAAAUCUUGAAGGAAACAAAAAGAGAACCCCCUUUUGCCUUUAUCAUCUUCAUUGUAAAUAGCAAACAAAUUUGAAUUCUUCAAUGGAAGUUCUUGAGUUUGCAGAUGAUUCUUUAGAAUGGCGACACAAAUUUUUUAUUGUAAGAUAUGAGACUCAAAUUUUCUAAGUAAAUAGAAGGAGGCAAAAAAUGAUUCUGCCAUGGCAAAGAAAAGAGAACCGUUGGUUUUCUUUGGAAGAGGGAAAGAGACAGAACUUUAG
RNAcentral lists this long non-coding RNA (4133 nucleotides) under Nicotiana benthamiana. RNAcentral's name for it is "long non-coding RNA (NBEN_LNC007693)". The record is from RNAcentral. Lineage: Eukaryota; Viridiplantae; Streptophyta; Magnoliopsida; Solanales; Solanaceae.